UCAAGGUUAACUAAAAAGGUGCAUUCAAUUGGAACUAAAAUGAUUGUCGCUUAAUACUGUUUGUAAAUUUUCACUCGGUAUGUUGGUCAAGUGGCAAACGAGCACGAGGGUCACCUGAUGGAAAGUGACUACCACCGCCCAUGGACAUCUGCAACACCGGGGGGCUUGCAGGUGCGUUGCCGGCCUUUCAGGAAAGAGUACGCUUUUUUCUUGAAGGUUCCUAAGUCUGGUUGUGCGAGGCAGAAAAUGUCUUAAAAAUCGCGCUGUUGUGGAUUUUCGGAC
This is a long non-coding RNA of Vanessa tameamea, 282 nucleotides long. RefSeq lists it as uncharacterized. The record is from RefSeq and is a predicted model, not a curated record. Lineage: Eukaryota; Metazoa; Arthropoda; Insecta; Lepidoptera; Nymphalidae. The transcript has 3 exons.